RNAcentral lists this ribosomal RNA (698 nucleotides) under Bradynema rigidum. RNAcentral describes it as "eukaryotic LSU rRNA". It matches the Rfam family "Eukaryotic large subunit ribosomal RNA", at positions 408 to 904 of the family's 3401-position model. The record is from RNAcentral. Lineage: Eukaryota; Metazoa; Nematoda; Chromadorea; Rhabditida; Allantonematidae.
AUCAAAUGGAAACGGAUAUAGUCGGCGGAUCUGACUCGUAUUCAGCCGAAUAUUGUGCGAUUGCGACAAUUGGUUAAGACGUUUUCACGCUCGCGUGAACGUUCUUGCUUGUCGUCGCUCUUCCGCGCAAAUCGGUGCACUUGCGUGUCGUUGUGCGCUGGAACGUGCGCGUUUUUUGCUUGCGGUUUGAAGAAGAGGAUGCGUAUUUCGAUGCGUAAAACCAGCUUCAUGCAUUUGCGGGCAAUUCAACGUGCACUUGUUGACGAUUGGUCGGUAGGAAAGGGGUUUAACGUACAGAACAUUCUUCGCGCGUAUGGCGGUCGCAUGCGACACGCGUGCGCUCUUGGUUUGUCUUGCGUUUGGCUCUCCUGCGACUUUCCGGCGUAAGAGUCGAGCGAUUAUCCGACCCGUCUUGAAACACGGACCAAGGAGUUUAAGGUAUACGCGAGUGAUUGGGUAAUAAAAACCCAAAUGCGUAAUGAAAGUGAAAGUGUGCCGUAGGCGCAAUAUACUUAUACGCGAUCCGUCAUCGUUUGUGGUGUUGCGGAGCAGCGUAGCCCCGUCUCUAUCGCUUGCGAUGGGGCGGAGGAAGAGCGUAUGCGUUGAGACCCGAAAGAUGGUGAACUAUGCUUGAGCAGGACGAAGUCAGAGGAAACUCUGAUGGAAGUCCGAAACGGUUCUGACGUGCAAAUCGAUCG